Molecule: RNA transcript, 3261 nt
Organism: Hemicordylus capensis (graceful crag lizard)
Lineage: Eukaryota; Metazoa; Chordata; Lepidosauria; Squamata; Cordylidae
Gene: SCRN3
Gene name: secernin 3
Exons: 8
Source: RefSeq, a predicted model, not a curated record
GCUAUCUCGGCGGCAGGAGCUGAGCGGGGCCUAGUCUGGGGCUGCGCCCGUCACCGGACUGAACUGAGCCCUCGACGAGGCCCGAAAGCGGACGCAGGGACGCCGCCGGCUCCGAGGUGCCCGCCAGGGGACGGGUAGGCGCCCAGCCCAGCCAGGAUGGCUUCCAGCAUCACUGAACCUUCCUCCUGUGAUACUUUUGUAGCUCUGCCUCCAGCUACACUUGGCAGUAGGAUCAUCUUUGGGAAAAAUUCUGACAGGCCCUCUGAUGAAGUCCAGGAAAUUGUCUAUUUCCCUGCUGCAGUUCAUGAGCUAGGAGAAAAGAUUGAGUGUACAUACAUAGAAAUUGACCAGGUGCCUGAGACGUAUGCAGUUGUCCUGAGUCGCCCAUCAUGGCUAUGGGGUGCUGAAAUGGGGGCCAAUGAGCAUGGAGUUUGCAUUGGGAAUGAAGCAGUGUGGGGAAAAGAAGAAGUCUGUGAUGAUGAAGCACUCCUAGGCAUGGACCUUGUCAGACUUGGACUUGAAAGAGCUGAUACUGCAGAAAAAGCUGUUGGUGUAAUUGUUGACUUGUUGGGAAAGUAUGGACAAGGUGGAAACUGUAUGGAGAGUCACAUGACAUUUACUUACCAUAAUAGUUUUCUGAUAGCAGACAGAAAGGGAGCGUGGAUACUGGAAACCUCUGGAAAGUAUUGGGCUGCAGAGAAAGUAGAAGGAGGAGUACGGAAUAUUUCCAAUCAGCUAUCGAUAACAACCAAGAUUGAUCGUGAGCAUCCAGCAAUAAGGAGUUAUGCUAGAAGCCAAGGCUGGUGGGAUGGCCAAAAAGAGUUUGAUUUUGCUGCCACAUUCUCAUAUGUAAAUACUGCCAGAAUGACUACUACAAGAGGCAGAUACUGUGAAGGCUAUAAACUACUAAAUAAACAUUCAGGCAGGAUAACUGCUGAAACAAUGAUGACAAUCCUUCGAGAUAAGGAAAGUGGCAUUAAUAUGGAAGGAGGUUUCAUGACCACUGGAAGUAUGGUUUCCAUUCUCCCUCAGGAGCCCAACCUUCCUUGCAUUCACUUCUUUACUGGGACACCAGACCCUGACAGAGCUCCCUGCUGGGACAGAGAGCUGUCAGUGGCAACUGACGAACCUGGAUACGCUUCUUCCAAGGAGAAAGUGUAUUCCCCAGACAAGUCCACUGAAGAUGUGCUGUGGCUGCCUCGGCAUCAUCUGUCUCCUCGACGUCGACAGGAACAUCUCCCUCCUAGGGAUUGAAGUUCCUGUUGGGACUCGGACGAUCGCUCCUCUGAGUACAGACAAGAUCAGCACUGGGACCAUUGUGAGCAAAUAUAUUCAGAUCGAUACCGUGUGCUGGAGAGACGUUCCACUUUGGAGGAGGUUAAGCUAUCCUCUUACGGUGCCUGGCGCCGGGACUUGGGGACAUAUGAACAUUACCCAGUGUGGACUAUCGUUUGGACUACUUGAACUACGCUAGACCCCGUUACGGUUCUUGAUACCUGGAGGGCCCCACGUGCGGGAAACCCAGAAUUGGCUGGGAUCUGUGUGUGCCCCCCUCAUACUUGGAGGGGAGGCCUUGCUCUUGAUCCCCGCAGCACUCCCCUCGAGAUCGGCCGGAGUGACACAAUUCCCACUCUGCAACUCUGGUUCUGCAACAGCCAUCGCUUCCUGUUCAGGUGCUGUCAGCGGAACCCACCCCCUCAGUCCUGGAUGUUAUUGGAAGCAAGCAAGAGUCUCCUAUGAUUUCGAUAGCCUUGGCCCAGGAUUCUCCCGAAUCAGACUGUGAAAGUGAUCCUAGUUCUCCGGGGAUCAUCCCCUUUGGACAUACAAUUGGAUUUGAAACCCGUUUCUCCGUCGGAGGACUACAAGCAGUACUCCGUGUAUGUGGCCCAUAUGGCUUCUGCCCUGGGAGUGAGCCUCGGUACGGAACAGAAAGGGGAAUUGGAUCCCUUGUUCAGCCUCAUCGAUUUGGAAGCCAAGGUACCGGCCAUUUUACCCUUUAACCCGGCCUGUUGGGGUCAUGAGGGGUCGUUGGAAAAAGCCUGCGACCCUUUCGCAACCCAGUAGACAGUUGGAGAACAUCUAUAGGGUGCAAGCACAGGUUGAUACAGCUUUCCUAAAGAAUCAUCUCACCCCUAUUUCUAUUGUAGUUGAGGCGUUUCUGUAGAAGACCAGGAGUCACAGCCAAUCAAUCCUGGGUGACAAGGAGGGCAGAAAGUUGGACUCCUUCGGGAGGAGGCUUUACUUGGCCUCGGCUCUCCAAUUACGAGUGGCCAACUCUCAGGCCUACAAUGCCCAUCAUAACUACUUUCUGUGGGAGAAGGUGGCCCCCUUUUUGGAUCUGCUGCCACAGGACAAGUGUGAUCCAGCGAAGGCGUUCCUCUGAGAGGCGAUACAAGUGGCAAAGCAAUAACUCUACUUGGCUAGACACUUGGUGGAGUGUGCAGCCAAGGUGAUGGCCAUGUGUGUGGCUCUCUGGCGGCAUGCCUGGCUGCGGUCAUCUGGAUUUACUUACGAGGCCCAUGCUAGAGUCGAGGACCUUCCCUUUGAAAGUUCUAGCCUAUUUGUGGAACAGACGGAUGACAGGCUUCAAAAUGUCCAGAAGCUGAGGAGCACGGCGAGGUCCAUGUCCUAUGCUUCUUUGACCCCCAAGCCACAGAAGUCUUCUAGGUGGUUCCCGUAUCGACAACAGAAGUCUCCUUCUCAACAGCAACCUUCAUCCGAACAUUCCUUUCGUGGCAACAAGUAUCAGUCCCGUUACAAGUCAGGCCCUUAGCCUACCAAGCCAGCCUUUCAAAAACAGUGCCUGAACACCUUUCCAAAGAAACAAUGACUUGGGGAGCUUUUGGAUUCGCCUGGUCCCAUUUUUGGCGAGCUGGGACAUGGUGACCACGGACCAAUGGGUCCUCAUGGUCAUAUAUUUGGGCGACGCCCUCGAGUUCUGCAGGAUGCCACCCAUUUCUGGGGCCUUACAAAGCCUUGCUGUUUGGCCUCACGACAGCGCCGAGGGUUUUUACAAAAUGCCUAGCCCCGGUGGUAGAUUUCCUGCAGGAACAAAGGUUACAGAUCCUGCCAUAUUUGGACGAUUAACAAAAACAAACCGUGAACAAAGUGAAAUCCAAUCAAAAAGGUCGAUCUUUAAACCAUUCAUUUUUGUACCAAAUAUUACCCAGCUGGUAAAAACCAGCUCCCCAGUGUUUGGUCCAGAGGAUCCAGUUAAAAAGAAACCACGAUUUCAGACUCAGCCAGACAGAAGACAUGAAC